ACAGAGGUCCCAAGCGUUGUUCGGAUUCACUGGGCGUAAAGGGUGCGUAGGCGGCCGGGUAAGUCUGCUGUGAAAUCCCGCAGCUCAACUGCGGAACUGCAUCGGAUACUAUCCGGCUUGAGGAAUGGAGGGGAGACUGGAAUACUUGGUGUAGCAGUGAAAUGCGUAGAUAUCAAGUGGAACACCAGUGGCGAAGGCGAGUCUCUGGACAUUUCCUGACGCUGAGGCACGAAAGCCAGGGGAGCAAACGGGAUUAGAUACCCCGGUAGUCCUGGCCCUAAACGGUGCGCGUUUGCUGUGAGCGGAGUCGAAUCCGUUCGUGGCGAAGCUAACGCGUUAAACGCGCCGCCUGGGAAGUACGGCCGCAAGGUUA
RNAcentral lists this ribosomal RNA (373 nucleotides) under uncultured bacterium. RNAcentral describes it as "bacterial SSU rRNA". It matches the Rfam family "Bacterial small subunit ribosomal RNA", at positions 525 to 896 of the family's 1533-position model. The record is from RNAcentral.